This 330-nucleotide long non-coding RNA is filed under the name Setaria viridis. RNAcentral's name for it is "long non-coding RNA (SVIR_LNC010195)". Lineage: Eukaryota; Viridiplantae; Streptophyta; Magnoliopsida; Poales; Poaceae. The record is from RNAcentral.
GUGGAUGGGCGUCCGGAUGUCUUGAUGAUAGCAUUACCGUAUAAUAGCUCGGCUGCUCGAUCUAUUACCGAUGAUGGCCGUGUACUGAACAGUGUGCAGGGUGCAUUGUGCACACGCAUACAUACAUUCAGGUACGUGGUGGUCGACCGGAAUGCAUCCAUCCAUGAAAAAGCAUGGAUGGUCAGCACAGUCUCUGCAACCUGCUGCUAUAUUUAUUUGCAUUUGCUUGCUCUGGUUAUCAACAUUGCAUGGCCAAUGGCUAAUGAACGGUCACGCGCGUAGGCUUCGAAAGAAGAUGCAAAAACCAAAAGGCAAGGAAUUCAUCAUUGC